GACAGAGGGUGCAAACGUUGUUCGGAAUUACUGGGCGUAAAGCGAGUGUAGGCGGUUUGGUAAGUCGGAUGUGAAAGCCCCGGGCUCAACCCGGGAAGUGCACUCGAUACUGCCGUGCUAGAGUCCCGGAGAGGGUGGUGGAACUCUCGGUGUAGAGGUGAAAUUCGUAGAUAUCGAGAAGAACACCGGUGGCGAAGGCGGCCACCUGGACGGCGACUGACGCUGAGACGCGAAAGCGUGGGGAGCAAACAGG
Molecule: ribosomal RNA, 253 nt
Filed under: uncultured bacterium
Lineage: Bacteria
Description: partial 16S ribosomal RNA
Rfam family: Bacterial small subunit ribosomal RNA
Source: RNAcentral